Molecule: long non-coding RNA, 539 nt
Organism: Asparagus officinalis (garden asparagus)
Lineage: Eukaryota; Viridiplantae; Streptophyta; Magnoliopsida; Asparagales; Asparagaceae
Exons: 5
Source: RefSeq, a predicted model, not a curated record
CGAGUAAAAAAAUUGAAAGACGCUGUUUGCUGUCUAGGACUGGGGAAAGGAUAUGCGAGACUUGGACAAGAGUGACUUACCAGGUUAUUCGGAAGAUUGUGAAUGUCUUUAGUUAUGGGGAAAUGAUUCAAGGGUUGGUUAAAGGGAAGAGAUUGGAGGAUGCUGUUGAGUUUUGUGUGGAGAUGUUGGAGGCUGGGCAUUCUCCAAAAGGUCCUUACUCACCGAUGUUUUGGGAGGCUAUCUAUGGGAAGAAGAAGAAGAAGUCACAGAGGCCUUUUUGAUCUCUCUUACAUCUGAUUGGUAUUCUUCUGUUGUGAGGUAGGACAGUGAGUUACGGUUGUUCAAGUCAGAGAUUACAAUGACAUGUUCACUAUCAGAGGUACCACUGACUUCUUGGCAUCUUGGUGAGUUAAGAGGAUAUUGGAGUUAGGAUACAAUGCCAAAGGAACUGUUAGAAACCCAGGAGAAUACAAGAAAAUUGGACAUCUCUGGGAGCUUGAAGGAACCAAGGAGAGGCUUUCUUAAUCUGAACCAUAAGG